CAUUGCUGGACUGUUUGACUCUUUUCCACGUCCAUUAAAGUGGUGCCAGGCACAGCGUCUCCUCUGCCUCGCUCCGUGUUGACCCGACCCUGGACUCUCCUCCCACUGCAUGGGUGAGGCUUGGAAGUUGCAGCACAUAACCACACUUACUGAUCACUGGCUACAAAAGGCCCCCAGGCCGCACUUUGGUCACCCUGUCCUAUGGGUUUUAAGAUCAGCCAGCACUGGUUCCUCCACCUUCAAGGCUCCGUUAUAGUGCCAAUGAAACAUGCCCUUUAAUCAUUGCGAAACAGUCAUGGAAUAGGAAGCCUGGUACACAGGAAGCAGAGCAUUUUCUUUUGCCUAGGGCAGCCGUCUCUGUGUGCUGCAGAAGAGGGCUGAUGGGACCCUUAGAUUAACUUCCUACUUACUUACUUACAAGCAUAGGCCA
Molecule: long non-coding RNA, 430 nt
Organism: Dunckerocampus dactyliophorus (ringed pipefish)
Lineage: Eukaryota; Metazoa; Chordata; Actinopteri; Syngnathiformes; Syngnathidae
Exons: 3
Source: RefSeq, a predicted model, not a curated record